This 433-nucleotide ribosomal RNA is filed under the name uncultured bacterium. RNAcentral describes it as "partial 16S ribosomal RNA". It matches the Rfam family "Bacterial small subunit ribosomal RNA", at positions 29 to 507 of the family's 1533-position model. The record is from RNAcentral.
AACGAACGCUGGCGGCAUGCCUAACACAUGCAAGUCGAACGAGACCUUCGGGUCUAGUGGCGCACGGGUGCGUAACGCGUGGGAACCUGCCCUUAGGUUCGGAAUAACUCCCCGAAAGGGGUGCUAAUACCGGAUAAUGUCUUCGGACCAAAGAUUUAUCGCCUUUGGAUGGGCCCGCGUUGGAUUAGCUAGUUGGUAGGGUAAAAGCCUACCAAGGCGACGAUCCAUAGCUGGUCUGAGAGGAUGAUCAGCCACACUGGGACUGAGACACGGCCCAGACUCCUACGGGAGGCAGCAGUGGGGAAUAUUGGACAAUGGGCGAAAGCCUGAUCCAGCAAUGCCGCGUGAGUGAUGAAGGCCCUAGGGUUGUAAAGCUCUUUUACCCGGGACGAUAAUGACAGUACCGGGAGAAUAAGCUCCGGCUAACUCCGUG